ACAUCAUAGGCAAUAUAGGAAAGGUGUACUGACAUAAGUAGUCUCUAAACACAUUAUCUCCAAAUGGAGCUUUCGUUAGUAGAAGCCAUAUUAACUAUGUGUAUCAGUGAGAAAAAUGUAAAAGCAUAAAAAUAUAGUAUAUAUACCAAUACACAUAAUUAACAGCGCCUGGUGAUGUUUCAUAGCCUGACCGGUUUCGGUCCAAAAAGGACCUUCAUCAGAGGCAGAAUGGUGGAUUAAUGUUUGCACCCUAUUUAUAUAGAUAUGGUAACCGGCGGUUCAA
RNAcentral lists this long non-coding RNA (283 nucleotides) under Mytilus galloprovincialis (Mediterranean mussel). Lineage: Eukaryota; Metazoa; Mollusca; Bivalvia; Mytilida; Mytilidae. The record is from RNAcentral.